UACGGAGGGUGCAAGCGUUGUCCGGAUUUAUUGGGUUUAAAAGGGUGCGUAGGCGGCCCCUGUAAGUCAGUGGUGAAAAUACUGCAGCUUAACUGUAGCAUUUGCCCAUUUGAUACUGUAGGGGCUUGAGUACAGAUGAGGGUAGGCGGGAAAUUGAUGGUGUAGCGGUGAAAAUGCAUAGAUACCAUCAAGAACACCCGAUUGCGA
This 207-nucleotide ribosomal RNA is filed under the name uncultured bacterium. Its description in RNAcentral is "partial 16S ribosomal RNA". It matches the Rfam family "Bacterial small subunit ribosomal RNA", at positions 524 to 718 of the family's 1533-position model. The record is from RNAcentral.